UACGUAGGGACCAAGCGUUGUCCGGAAUCAUUGGGCGUAAAGAGCGUGUAGGCGGCUUGUUAAGUCUUGCGUGAAAUCUCGGGGCUCAACCCCGGGAGGCGGGCGGAUACUGUCGGGCUAGAGUCCGGAAGGGGCGAGUGGAAUUCCUGGUGUAGCGGUGAAAUGCGCAGAUAUCAGGAGGAACACCGAUGGCGAAGGCAGCUCGCUGGGACGGUACUGACGCUGAGACGCGAAAGCGUGGGGAGCAAACAGG
This 253-nucleotide ribosomal RNA is filed under the name uncultured bacterium. Its description in RNAcentral is "partial 16S ribosomal RNA". It matches the Rfam family "Bacterial small subunit ribosomal RNA", at positions 524 to 776 of the family's 1533-position model. The record is from RNAcentral.